CUUAAGUGUGCAGACCCUGCGGGUUCGAGAACUAUGUAGACAUGACCCGAGAGACUCCUCGGUCAAUAUCCAAUAGCGGGACCUGGAUGCCCAUAUUGGAUCCUACAUAUUCUACGAAGAUCUUAUCGUUUGAACCUCAGUGCCAAGGAUUCAUAUAAUCCUGUACGUCAUUCCCUUUGUCCUUCGGUAUGUUACUUGCCCGAGAUUCGAUCGUCAGUAUCCGUAUACCUAUUUCAAUCUCGUUUACCGGCAAGUCUCUUUACUCGUUCCGUAAUACAAGAUCCCGCAACUUACACUAAGUUACAUUGCUUGCAAGGCUUGUGUGUGAUGUUGUAUUACCGAGUGGGCCCCGAGAUACCUCUC
Molecule: long non-coding RNA, 363 nt
Filed under: Hordeum vulgare
Lineage: Eukaryota; Viridiplantae; Streptophyta; Magnoliopsida; Poales; Poaceae
Description: long non-coding RNA (HVUL_LNC007978)
Source: RNAcentral